RNAcentral lists this ribosomal RNA (441 nucleotides) under uncultured bacterium. Its description in RNAcentral is "partial 16S ribosomal RNA". It matches the Rfam family "Bacterial small subunit ribosomal RNA", at positions 338 to 795 of the family's 1533-position model. The record is from RNAcentral.
CCUACGGGUGGCAGCAGUGGGGAAUAUUGGGCAAUGGGCGCAAGCCUGACCCAGCAACGCCGCGUGAGCGAUGACGGUCUUCGGAUUGUAAAGCUCUGUCGCAGCGGACGAAGUAUGACGGUACCCUGUAAGAAAGCCCCGGCAAACUACGUGCAAGCAGCCGCGGUAAUACGUAGGGGGCUAGCGUUGUCCGGAAUUACUGGGCGUAAAGGGAGUGUAGACGGCUGGUCAAGUCAAGUGUGAAAGCCUGCGGCUUAACCGGAGAAUUGCACUUAAAACUGACUCGCUAGAGUGCAGGUGAGGUGAGUGGAAUUCGUAGGGUAGCGGUGGAAUGCGUAGAUAUUAGGAGGAACACCAGAGGCGAAGGCAGCUCACUGGACUGUAACUGACGUUGAGGCUCGAAAGCGUGGGGAGCAAACAGGAUUAGAUACCCUAGUAGUC